This 775-nucleotide ribosomal RNA is filed under the name uncultured Neocallimastigales. RNAcentral describes it as "partial large subunit ribosomal RNA". It matches the Rfam family "Eukaryotic large subunit ribosomal RNA", at positions 23 to 634 of the family's 3401-position model. Lineage: Eukaryota; Fungi; Neocallimastigomycota; Neocallimastigomycetes; Neocallimastigales. The record is from RNAcentral.
AGAGAGAGACAUGCGCGCAUAUCAAUAAGCGGAGGAAAAGAAACUAACAAGGAUUCCCUUAGUAACGGCGAGUGAAGCGGGAAGAGCUCAAAUUUGAAAUCUUCAAGGUUUUACCUUGACGAAUUGUAGUUUAAAGAAGUGUUUUCUGCUGAAGUUUUGGUAAAAGUUCUUUGGAAUAGGACAUCAUAGAGGGUGAGAAUCCCGUAUUUGACCAUUAUUUUCAGCUUUGUGAUACACUUUCAAAGAGUCGGAUUGUUUGGGAAUGCAGUCCAAAAUGGGUGGUAAAUUUCAUCUAAAGCUAAAUAUUGGCGAGAGACCGAUAGCGAACAAGUACCGUGAGGGAAAGAUGAAAAGAACUUUGAAAAGAGAGUUAAACAGUACGUGAAAUUGUCAAAAGGGAAGCGUUUGACACCAGUGUCGUUUUCUCGAAAAUCAAUUAAAAAUGGCUCGAUUUUGUAUUGUUGAGACCUUAAAAGCUCACUGUACAUUUUUCGUGUCUUUUUUAAUGCACUUUUCGUUUAACAAGUCAACAUCAGUUUCUUUUGUUGUAAAAGGGUCAUUGGAAGGUGGCUUUCUUUUCGGAGAAAGUGUUUAUAGCCUUUGGCCUCUGCAAUCGGAAGAGACUGAGGUCUGCAGCGUAGACUCUUCGGGGUUAGAUACAUUUGUGCUAAGUUAUAGCUUUUUAUAGACAACUUGUUGACUAUAAUUAGUCUUGUAGCUUACUCGCUUAUGCUAUUUUACCUACGCUUAGGAUGUUGAGUCGUAGAGCACGCAG